Molecule: ribosomal RNA, 890 nt
Filed under: Sarcocystis sp.
Lineage: Eukaryota; Apicomplexa; Conoidasida; Eucoccidiorida; Sarcocystidae
Description: SSU rRNA
Rfam family: Eukaryotic small subunit ribosomal RNA
Source: RNAcentral
GGAGGCAUAAUAUCUUUUUUGGAUGAUUGGCGAUAGAUCAUUCAAGUUUCUGACCUAUCAGCUUUCGACGGUAGUGUAUUGGACUACCGUGGCAGUGACGGGUAACGGGGAAUUAGGGUUCGAUUCCGGAGAGGGAGCCUGAGAAACGGCUACCACAUCUAAGGAAGGCAGCAGGCGCGCAAAUUACCCAAUCCUGACUCAGGGAGGUAGUGACAAGAAAUAACAACACUGGAAAUUUGAUUUCUAGUGAUUGGAAUGAUGGGAAUCCAAACCCCUUUCAGAGUAACAAUUGGAGGGCAAGUCUGGUGCCAGCAGCCGCGGUAAUUCCAGCUCCAAUAGCGUAUAUUAAAGUUGUUGCAGUUAAAAAGCUCGUAGUUGGAUGUCUGUUGGAAGCAAUCAUCAGUCCGCCCUAUUUCAUUAGGGUGUGAACAUGAUGAGUUCCGGCAUAAUUGUCUCGUCUAAUUGUUAAUAAUAACGACUAUUAGAUUCAUUUCUAGUAGUUUGUGGUUAUUAAUAAUAGAGGGGGGAAAUGUUACUUUGAGAAAAUUAGAGUGUUUGAAGCAGGCUUUUGUUGCCUUGAAUACUGCAGCAUGGAAUAACAAUAUAGGAUUUCGGUUCUAUUUUGUUGGUUCUUUUAGGACUGAAAUAAUGAUUAAUAGGGACAGUUGGGGGCAUUCGUAUUUAACUGUCAGAGGUGAAAUUCUUAGAUUUGUUAAAGACGAACUACUGCGAAAGCAUUUGCCAAAGAUGUUUUCAUUAAUCAAGAACGAAAGUUAGGGGCUCGAAGACGAUCAGAUACCGUCGUAGUCUUAACCAUAAACUAUGCCGACUAGAGAUAGGAAACUGUCAUUAUUUUUGACUUCUCCUGCACCUAUGGGAGAAAAAUCAAA